GAUGAACGCUGGCGGCGUGCCUAACACAUGCAAGUCGAGCGGCAGCGAGGUGUGCUUUCACCCUUUCGGCGAGCGGCUGACGGCUGAGUAGCGCGUGGGAACGUGCCCCAAAGUGAGGAAUAACUGCCCUAAAGGGUAUCUAAUACCGCCUAUUAUCUUCGUAUCAAAGGAUUUAUCCGCUUUGGGAGCGGCUCGCGUCGGAUUAGGUAGUUGGUGAGUUAAUUGCUCACCAAGCCGACGAUCCGUAGCUGGGCUGAGAGGCUGACCAGCCAGACUGGAAGUGAGCCACGGUCCAGACUACUACGGGAGGCAGCAGUGAGGAAUCUUCCAAAAUGGGCGAAAGCCUGAUGGAGCAACGCCGCGUGAAGGACGAAGGCGUUAGGGUUGUAAACUGCUUUUAUACGUGAGGAAUAUGACGGUAACUAAUGAAUAAGGAUCGGCUAACUACGUG
RNAcentral lists this ribosomal RNA (451 nucleotides) under uncultured bacterium. Its description in RNAcentral is "partial 16S ribosomal RNA". It matches the Rfam family "Bacterial small subunit ribosomal RNA", at positions 28 to 507 of the family's 1533-position model. The record is from RNAcentral.